GGCAGACGGGUGAGUAACACGUGGGAACGUGCCCUUCGGUUCGGAAUAACUCAGGGAAACUUGAGCUAAUACCGGAUACGCCCUUUUGGGGAAAGGUUUACUGCCGAAGGAUCGGCCCGCGUCUGAUUAGCUUGUUGGUGGGGUAACGGCCUACCAAGGCGACGAUCAGUAGCUGGUCUGAGAGGAUGAUCAGCCACACUGGGACUGAGACACGGCCCAGACUCCUACGGGAGGCAGCAGUGGGGAAUAUUGGACAAUGGGCGCAAGCCUGAUCCAGCCAUGCCGCGUGAGUGAUGAAGGCCUUAGGGUUGUAAAGCUCUUUUGUCCGGGACGAUAAUGACGGUACCGGAAGAAUAAGCCCCGGCUAACUUCGUGCCAGCAGCCGCGGUAAUACGAAGGGGGCUAGCGUUGCUCGGAAUCACUGGGCGUAAAGGGCGCGUAGGCGGCCGAUUAAGUCGGGGGUGAAAGCCUGUGGCUCAACCACAGAAUUGCCUUCGAUACUGGUUGGCUUGAGACCGGAAGAGGACAGCGGAACUGCGAGUGUAGAGGUGAAAUUCGUAGAUAUUCGCAAGAACACCAGUGGCGAAGGCGGCUGUCUGGUCCGGUUCUGACGCUGAGGCGCGAAAGCGUGG
RNAcentral lists this ribosomal RNA (632 nucleotides) under Methylorubrum extorquens. RNAcentral describes it as "bacterial SSU rRNA". It matches the Rfam family "Bacterial small subunit ribosomal RNA", at positions 97 to 764 of the family's 1533-position model. Lineage: Bacteria; Pseudomonadati; Pseudomonadota; Alphaproteobacteria; Hyphomicrobiales; Methylobacteriaceae. The record is from RNAcentral.